UCACCUCCUGACCCGUCCCCGAGUCACGGUCCAGCCCGUCCUCGCUCAAGCCGCAAACCGGCAUGCAGCUGACCCCAAGCCGGGGUGCAGCCUACCCGGGGGAGCCGCGGCUUCUUCCCGCCUGGCCAGGCCCCGAGAGGGCUGGCCGGGCGCCAGGGAGGUGAGGUUGGGCUCGGAGGUGGCUGGCGGAUGGCGUAUUACUGUGGAAAGCGAGCGGGGAAGGCGAACGGGAGCACGGAUGGCACCGUACAAGCUUGCCACGUGACCAAAAUGUGUUUAUCUUGUCCGGAGAAGCCUGCGGAGGCCAGCCGGGCUUCCGCGGCACCGCACAACUCCCGCGGACGGGGCUGGGCCCUGCGAGAGAGCGGAGACCGCGUCUAUUUGCUUUCGCUGUCGCUUCGGCUCUUAUCAUUUGCCUUGUCAUUCAUCAUCAACCUCUCCCGAUCUCCCUGCGCCUUUGCCCCCCGCCGCCUCCCCCAGGGCGAAAGCCCAGCUGCGAAAUGCCCCGCAGCUGUAGCCAGUGCUAGAACAGAGUGCCUUGGAACCAGAAAUCAAUGCUCCUGAAAUGAAUAAGUGGACAACUUAUUAGGCUCAGUCACUCCACACGCCAUCCCCUGAUAACUAAUAGAUGAAGUAAGAGCUGGAGAAGGGACGCAUCCGGGAAGGCCCCACAUGCCCACUCCUUCGUGGCAAGGCCGGCUAAUUCUACAUCCACCGCCGGGCAUCCCCGGCCAGUGCAGGGCAAGGGGAUGCGACACGGCACUCGCAAGCUGCCUGGGGUCAGAUGGCGAUAAGGACGGCGAGUGUCUGGGAGAACGGCCCCGGGAGUCAUUGAUAAAGGUGUCCGGUUUCCCUGCUCGCUCCCGAAAGCAAAACCGACAGGUUCAGCAACAUCACGUAAUCGUGGCGUCUCUGCCUAGAAACAGUCGCGCUAAUUUUGCAUUUUUACCAUCCACGGGGAGGAAAAAUACCUGUCCUCCCGCAAUGCAAAUCCUUAUGUAAAUAGAUCUGCGGCCACCCUGACCUCCCAGCCAAGAGUCGUUGGGCCGGGAUUCAGCCGCCCCGGGGGGCAGCACCACAAACCCCGAAAGCACAAACGGGAUCGGGCAAACGCCCCGGCAGCCCCUCUCAAACUCGCUGCUAGCUGGCAAAAGUCCGAGCAGGAGCCUGCGGUUAAGCUCCGAGGCCUUCAUGCAUCCCUGGCGAUCAGCGCCCCAGCGCUAAGUGCAAUUAACAUAACAGACACUAAAAUAGGAGAGAGCGGCGCUGAAUUUAAUUUGCAG
RNAcentral lists this long non-coding RNA (1283 nucleotides) under Strigops habroptila (Kakapo). Its description in RNAcentral is "lncRNA (ENSSHBG00005011847.1)". Lineage: Eukaryota; Metazoa; Chordata; Aves; Psittaciformes; Psittacidae. The record is from RNAcentral.